RNAcentral lists this long non-coding RNA (527 nucleotides) under Rattus norvegicus (Norway rat). RNAcentral's name for it is "long non-coding RNA NONRATT013839". Lineage: Eukaryota; Metazoa; Chordata; Mammalia; Rodentia; Muridae. The record is from RNAcentral.
AAAGAGGCCUCCUCAGGAUCCACACCUCAGAAGCCCAAGAAGCCCAAGAAGAGCACCUUGAGCUCACCAGCCCCGGCACAGACACUGCCGAACAGCAUCACCCAGCGCCUCCUGGAGCAGCCCUGGCCCCUGAGUGAGGCACAGGUGCAGGCCUCUGUGAUGAAGGUCCUGACAGAACUGCUGGAGCAGGAAAGGCAGAAGGCCACCGAGGCCAUCAAGGAGAGUGGAAAGAAGGGCCAGAAACGGAAACUAUCAGGGGACCAGGUAGAAGCUGGGGCCCCAAAGAACAAGAAGAAGAAGCAGCAGCUUGCGGCUGGGACAAGUGCUGGUUCCCCAGAAAAGGCCUCCAGGACUUCCAAGGCAAAAUCAAAACUAAACAAAGGGAGUGCUGGUGGCAAGGGGAAGGGGUCUCCUGUCCCCCAAGGAGCCAAGGAGAAGCCCGAAGGCAAGCUGGGGAUAAAGCUUGAGAGUGGAGAGCAGAGUGACCCGAAGAGCAAGAAGGAAAAGAAGAAAUCCAGUAAGAGUAA